RNAcentral lists this ribosomal RNA (633 nucleotides) under Lacticaseibacillus rhamnosus. RNAcentral describes it as "bacterial SSU rRNA". It matches the Rfam family "Bacterial small subunit ribosomal RNA", at positions 38 to 635 of the family's 1533-position model. The record is from RNAcentral. Lineage: Bacteria; Bacillati; Bacillota; Bacilli; Lactobacillales; Lactobacillaceae.
GGCGGCGUGCCUAAUACAUGCAAGUCGAACGAGUUCUGAUUAUUGAAAGGUGCUUGCAUCUUGAUUUAAUUUUGAACGAGUGGCGGACGGGUGAGUAACACGUGGGUAACCUGCCCUUAAGUGGGGGAUAACAUUUGGAAACAGAUGCUAAUACCGCAUAAAUCCAAGAACCGCAUGGUUCUUGGCUGAAAGAUGGCGUAAGCUAUCGCUUUUGGAUGGACCCGCGGCGUAUUAGCUAGUAGGUGAGGUAACGGCUCACCAAGGCAAUGAUACGUAGCCGAACUGAGAGGUUGAUCGGCCACAUUGGGACUGAGACACGGCCCAAACUCCUACGGGAGGCAGCAGUAGGGAAUCUUCCACAAUGGACGCAAGUCUGAUGGAGCAACGCCGCGUGAGUGAAGAAGGCUUUCGGGUCGUAAAACUCUGUUGUUGGAGAAGAAUGGUCGGCAGAGUAACUGUUGUCGGCGUGACGGUAUCCAACCAGAAAGCCACGGCUAACUACGUGCCAGCAGCCGCGGUAAUACGUAGGUGGCAAGCGUUAUCCGGAUUUAUUGGGCGUAAAGCGAGCGCAGGCGGUUUUUUAAGUCUGAUGUGAAAGCCCUCCGCUUAACCGAGGAAGUGCAUCGGAAACGG